This 499-nucleotide ribosomal RNA is filed under the name uncultured Glomeromycotina. RNAcentral describes it as "partial small subunit ribosomal RNA". It matches the Rfam family "Eukaryotic small subunit ribosomal RNA", at positions 591 to 1092 of the family's 1831-position model. The record is from RNAcentral. Lineage: Eukaryota; Fungi; Glomeromycota.
CCAAUAGCGUAUAUUAAAGUUGUUGCAGUUAAAAAGCUCGUAGUUGAAUUUCGGGAUCAAUAUGUUGGUCGUGCCUUGGUACGUACUGGCGUCAUUGGUUUCUACCUUCUGAAGAACCUCGAUGUCAUUAAUUUGGUGUCUUGGGGAAUCAGGACUGUUACUUUGAAAAAAUUAGAGUGUUUAAAGCAAGCUCACGCUUGAAUACAUUAGCAUGGAAUAAUGAAAUAGGACGUUUGAUUCUAUUUUGUUGGUUUCUAGGAUCGACGUAAUGAUUAAUAGGGAUAGUUGGGGGCAUUAGUAUUCAAUUGUCAGAGGUGAAAGUCUUGGAUUUAUUGAAGACUAACUACUGCGAAAGCAUUUGCCAAGGAUGUUUUCAUUAAUCAAGAACGAAAGUUAGGGGAUCGAAGACGAUCAGAUACCGUCGUAGUCUUAACCAUAAACUAUGCCGACUAGGGAUCGGAUGAUGUUAAUUUUUUAAUGACUCAUUCGGCGCCUUACG